UACGUAGGGUGCAAGCGUUGUCCGGAAUUAUUGGGCGUAAAGAGCUCGUAGGCGGUCUGUUACGUCGGCUGUGAAAACCUGGGGCUCAACCCCGGGCCUGCAGCCGAUACGGGCAGACUAGAAUUCGGUAGGGGAGACUGGAAUUCCUGGUGUAGCGGUGAAAUGCGCAGAUAUCAGGAGGAACACCGGUGGCGAAGGCGGGUCUCUGGGCCGAUAUUGACGCUGAGGAGCGAAAGCGUGGGGAGCGAACGGG
RNAcentral lists this ribosomal RNA (253 nucleotides) under uncultured bacterium. RNAcentral describes it as "partial 16S ribosomal RNA". It matches the Rfam family "Bacterial small subunit ribosomal RNA", at positions 524 to 776 of the family's 1533-position model. The record is from RNAcentral.